This 484-nucleotide long non-coding RNA is filed under the name Lathyrus oleraceus (garden pea). RNAcentral describes it as "Pisum sativum (pea) long non-coding RNA (PSAT_LNC012506)". Lineage: Eukaryota; Viridiplantae; Streptophyta; Magnoliopsida; Fabales; Fabaceae. The record is from RNAcentral.
GACUGCUAAACUGAGGAGGUGAAUCAAAGAAAAACGACAAUGAAUCUUCAAGAACUAUACUCUAGCAUGAAAAGGGAGUAGACUCUACCAAAGAUAUCAAAUCAUUCACACACAAUACUCGAGUGUUUUAGUUUCCAAGGGUCAUAAUGAUGGAACAUCCAAAAAUACGUUUUAAGAAUGCAUAGACACGAUAUUAAGGGGAAGCUAUUAUGGGACACCCAUAGCACCCCUGACAAAACCCCUCAUGAAUGAACUAUAAUUAACAACCUUAGUUGAAUUCCAUAUAUGUGCAGAGAUCCAAGUUUUUCUUUUCUUAUACAUGGGUUUAAAAACCCCUUUGGUUGAGUCAAAACAGAACUUGUUUGGUCGACGUCAUGGCAAUAAAAUGGAAGGUCUACCUGUAGGGUGUCACAAUGAACUUGAUACCCAUAUUAUUGUUACCAUGCCUCAUAGAGGGCCUAAAUUGUACUUUGUAAAAAACAUA